This 30-nucleotide non-coding RNA is filed under the name Homo sapiens (human). Lineage: Eukaryota; Metazoa; Chordata; Mammalia; Primates; Hominidae. The record is from RNAcentral.
UGUCCUGAUGAUCGCAUCAAAAUUGUGGUC